CCCCUCGGGCAGCCCCUUUCUGCCCCCACCACGCCAGUCACCAGCAGUCAGCCUUCUGGGAUUUUCCUCCCAUCUAUUUUGGAAGCAGCAUCCAAAAUACAGGUUGAGUCAAGUACAACGGUGCACAAGUUUGUGGUGAGAAGCUCUUCUACUCUUUACCAACAUUUUGUUAUCAACAAGUACACAGUAGACAGUUCUUAAAUUUUUGCCUGCCAGCAAAUUUUGAGGAAUUAUUCCUUCCUUGUUGCAUCUGAGUCUCAUGAUGCAAUUAAGCAAAACCACACACGGGAACAAAAAUUGACCCAGAUGGGGCUAAUCUUAGUUCCUCCCCCUGGCAACAGUGACUAGGAAGAGACACAUGACCUGAGGUGGCCCAAUGGACAUAGACAUGUUGACAUGUAGACAUAAAGCGAGAGAAGUGCCUUUUCCCACUGGGGUUGCUAACCAGGAAGGAUGUUUCUGUGGGACUUUAAUUAACUAUUUUCCUCGCCACAUUGCAAGCUGCCUGCCGGAAGAGGACAACCCACAGAGGGAAAAUGCAGCCGAAGCUGACAAGCCAUCGUGAAACCAAGAACUCGGCUGAGUAUACAGAGAUACUGAAAGCAAUGGAGCAACCCAAAAUGUUGAGAAGACGAACCAAGAUGGCGGCUCAGCCCUGCAGGGGAGAACGAGGGUGAAGAAAUGGCCCCGACAGGGAUGCAGGCUUGUCACCUAUGAAGAGUGAUUCCCCAGAAGUGCCUGGAGGUGGGCAGUGGGCUUUUCAGAGGUCGUUUUCCUGUUCUGAGAUUCACCAGGCCUUGUAAGUGGUGGAUCCUGAGGCCCUAGAAACUCAUCCGCCCUCUCUCUUCAGGGCCUUGCUUGGCUCGGGCUGCCCUUCCCACUGCUGCCAUGCUGAGCUCAGCUAGCAUUCUUGGCUGGUGGAGCAUCACCUCAAACUCAAAAGCUGAAUUAAUGAACAUCCUCCUUUCUUCCUGUUCUCAUCUUCCAACUCUGGUCUAUGUCUUGGUGUUGUUUCUGGUAAUAGCACCUCUGUUUUCUCAAUCACUCAGACUUGAAGCCACUAAGUUUACAUUUUACUUUUUCUUCAUUAACCUUAGCCCUAAACCUAAACCCACUGCGUAGUGAAGAAUUAACCUUGCCCAAGGGCUUCAAGAUGGCUGAGUAGGGGCAUCCAGCACUCACCUCCUCCACAAAGAAGAGCCAAAAUAGCAAGUACACAGUCGCUCUGCAAAUAGAACAGCUGAGAGAGAACACUGGAAUUCAAUAGAGAAGUGACAGGAAAUACCCGAGGCACAAAAGGAGAGGGAAGCUAGGCAGCCAGCUUGGCUGGGAUCUGCUGGGAGCCCAGAGAGGCUCCCCAGGGAAGGGAAAGAGUAAAUAGGAGAUCCCUAGUGGUCCACAUUCCCACUGGGCACUCCAGCAAUCCUAGCUGUGGGAGAGGCCUCGCAGGCCUCAAGAAUAGCAAAGGGAGCUGUCUAGAGACCAUGUAACAGCAUUGCUCCAGAGAGAGAGAACACAUGGGGUGCCACACACACUCUGAGUCUUAAGCAGCUGCAGCACAGAGUCCAGCUCCCACCCGACUGCAUCCUGCUCUGCGGCUCAACAGCCCUUGCAUCUCCACAUCCCUAGGGCCCCACUGACAUCCCCCUGGGUCCACCCAAGGGCUGCAGUGGCUUUCCGCAGGUUGGACCCAGUGGAGCAGCAGGGUUCCCAGCACUCUAGCACACACUGGGGAAGAGGUGAUGCAGUGCACUAGGACAAAGGGAGCCAAAGCACUCGCUAAUCUGGAACCUGCCUGCUCAGAGCCACUGCCCCUGACAGCAACCCCACCCCCACCAGCAACAGACUGCAGUGCACUUGCAUAUACCAUGAAAAAAGGCUCUCCCUACCUGCAGCUACCACUGCUGCUGCCACUGGGGGCCAAAGUGUGCACCCCUGGCAGUGAUGCCCUCUAGCAGUAGGGCCACCACACCCUUGCACAAACCUCAAGGACUGGCUCUCAUCACUGCUACUGCUGCUGCCAGGAGCCAAACCAUGGUCUCUCCUGAGCCUGAGAUCCAUCUGCCUACAGU
This is a non-coding RNA of Microcebus murinus (gray mouse lemur), 2072 nucleotides long. NCBI's taxonomy places the organism in Eukaryota, Metazoa, Chordata, Mammalia, Primates, Cheirogaleidae. The record is from RefSeq and is a predicted model, not a curated record.